This 252-nucleotide ribosomal RNA is filed under the name uncultured bacterium. Its description in RNAcentral is "partial 16S ribosomal RNA". It matches the Rfam family "Bacterial small subunit ribosomal RNA", at positions 524 to 775 of the family's 1533-position model. The record is from RNAcentral.
UACGGAGGAUCCAAGCGUUAUCCGGAUUUAUUGGGUUUAAAGGGUGCGUAGGCGGCUUAUUAAGUCAGUGGUGAAAUCCUGGAGCUUAACUCCAGAACUGCCAUUGAUACUGAUGAGCUUGAGUACAGUUGAGGUAGGCGGAAUGUGUCAUGUAGCGGUGAAAUGCUUAGAUAUGACACAGAACACCGAUUGCGAAGGCAGCUUGCUAAACUGUAACUGACGCUGAGGCACGAAAGCGUGGGUAGCAAACAG